GCCUUCGUGGUGUAGUGGUCAGCACGCUCGAUGCGUUUUCGAGAGGUCCGUGGUUCGAUUCCCGGCUAGGGCA
Non-coding RNA from Stegodyphus mimosarum, 73 nucleotides. NCBI's taxonomy places the organism in Eukaryota, Metazoa, Arthropoda, Arachnida, Araneae, Eresidae. The record is from Rfam.